GAGAAGUGACCUUGGUCUGCCUUCUGGGCAGUACUGAGUUUCAAACGGCGGUGGUAACACAUCGUCGUGUCACGACUCUUUCUUCUGGGGAACCAAGGUUUCCUUUACUGGACGCCUUGUGGAACCAGGACGAUUACCUUGAGGAAAAUAAAGUGUUCAAAGCAGGCUUGUGCUUGAAUACGUUAGCAUGGAAUAAUAAAAUAGGACGUUGGUUCUAUUUUGUUGGUUUUAAGGACCAAUGUC
Molecule: ribosomal RNA, 243 nt
Filed under: uncultured fungus
Lineage: Eukaryota; Fungi
Description: partial small subunit ribosomal RNA
Rfam family: Eukaryotic small subunit ribosomal RNA
Source: RNAcentral